CCACACCCGUGCAACCUGCGUCCACCCUACAAUCAAUAAGCAGCCAAGCAUGAAUUGCCUCUUGAACGUCUUAAUUACAACGGAUCACUUCAAACCUGUCCACAUGUGCAUUUUUGCUCAUUUGCUCAGCUUGACAUGUUGUGGACAGUGACCUUUGCUGGAUCCUCCAAAGCAGCAUCGUAUUUCAGGAGGCCUUUCUGCAUUUGAGGGUGCUUGGUCUUGGCAGGAAUGGUAUUUAACACCCUUCAGGAGGCUGAAGUUAAUCUCAUUGAUACUGGAAUCUGUAACCAGAGAAGCUGGUAUAAUGGCCAUGUUAAUGACAACAUGAUCUGCGCAUUGACAAAGGAGGAGUUGACAUGUCAGGGUGACAGCGGAGGCCCUCUACAGUGUGACAGAGAAGACAUGCAGAGAUUUUACCUUUAUGGUGUGACAAGUCAUGGACAGGAUUGUGCAUUGCCAAACAAACCUGGCAUAUACACCAUCUGGCUAAGAAACGCUGUAGCAAGAUCUGGGUCUGCUGCAUCAGUCACAGAUCUGCCAGUUUUUAAAUUAAUCUCAGCCCUGUUAUUCUCUGCCUGGAUGGGCCUGCUAAUGUGAGCCGUCCCCCAUCAGACAUCAAAACAACUCUCUGGGCUAUGUGCUGCUUUUCUGUCAUAUCAGUAA
This is a long non-coding RNA of Cyprinus carpio (common carp), 663 nucleotides long. RefSeq lists it as uncharacterized. Lineage: Eukaryota; Metazoa; Chordata; Actinopteri; Cypriniformes; Cyprinidae. The record is from RefSeq and is a predicted model, not a curated record. The transcript has 4 exons.